RNAcentral lists this ribosomal RNA (301 nucleotides) under uncultured bacterium. RNAcentral describes it as "partial 16S ribosomal RNA". It matches the Rfam family "Bacterial small subunit ribosomal RNA", at positions 509 to 807 of the family's 1533-position model. The record is from RNAcentral.
CAGUAGCCACGGGAAUACGAAGGGGGCUAGCGUUGUUCGGAAUUACUGGGCGUAAAGGGCGCGUAGGCGGCCAUUCAAGUUAGAUGUGAAAGCCCUGGGCUCAACCUAGGAAUUGCAUUUGAUACUGUUUGGCUUGAGUUCGGGAGAGGUGAGUGGAAUUCCCAGUGUAGAGGUGAAAUUCGUAGAUAUUGGGAAGAACACCAGUGGCGAAGGCGGCUCACUGGACCGACACUGACGCUGAGGCGCGAAAGCGUGGGGAGCAAACAGGAUUAGAUACCCCUGUAGUCCCUGUCUCUUAUAC